This 577-nucleotide ribosomal RNA is filed under the name uncultured bacterium. RNAcentral describes it as "partial 16S ribosomal RNA". It matches the Rfam family "Bacterial small subunit ribosomal RNA", at positions 355 to 1376 of the family's 1533-position model. The record is from RNAcentral.
UGAGGAAUAUUGGUCAAUGGUCGCAAGACUGAACCAGCCAUGCCGCGUGCAGGAAGACGGUCCUAUGGAUUGUAAACUGCUUUUAUACAGGAAGAAACCCUCCCACGUGUGGGAGCUUGACGGUACUGUAGGAAUAAGGAUCGGCUAACUCCGUGCCAGCAGCCGCGGUAAUACGGAGGAUCCAAGCGUUAUCCGGAAUCAUUGGGUUUAAAGGGUCCGUAGGCGGUCUUAUAAGUCAGUGGUGAAAGCCCAUCGCUCAACGAUGGAACUGCCAUUGAUACUGUAAGACUUGAAUGCUUAGGAAGUAACUAGAAUAUGUAGUGUAGCGGUGAAAUGCUUAGAUAUUACAUGGAAUACCAAUUGCGAAGGCAGGUUACUACUAAGUGAUUGACGCUGAUGGACGAAAGCGUGGGGAGCGAACAGGAUUAGAUACCCUAGUAGUCCACGCCGUAAACGAUGGAUACUAGCUGUUCGGCGCAAGUUGAGUGGCUAAGCGAAAGUGAUAAGUAUCCCAUCUGGGGAGUACGCACGCAAGUGUGAAACUCAAAUGAAUUGACGGGGUCAUAGCUGUUUCCUG